AACGAACGCUGGCGGCAGGCUUAACACAUGCAAGUCGAACGCUCGUAGCAAUACGGGAGUGGCGGACGGGUGAGUAACGCGUGGGAACGUGCCCUGAGGUACGGAAUAACUGCGGGAAACUGCAGCUAAUACCGUAUGAGCCCCGUGAGGGGGAAAGAUUUAUCGCCUUAGGAGCGGCCCGCGUCGGAUUAGCUAGUUGGUGGGGUAACGGCUUACCAAGGCUUCGAUCCGUAGCUGGUCUGAGAGGACGAUCAGCCACACUGGGACUGAGACACGGCCCAGACUCCUACGGGAGGCAGCAGUGGGGAAUCUUGCGCAAUGGGGGCAACCCUGACGCAGCCAUGCCGCGUGAAUGAUGAAGGCCCUAGGGUUGUAAAGUUCUUUUGCCCGUGACGAUGAUGACGGUAACGGGAGAAUAAGCUCCGGCUAACUUCGUG
Molecule: ribosomal RNA, 437 nt
Filed under: uncultured bacterium
Lineage: Bacteria
Description: bacterial SSU rRNA
Rfam family: Bacterial small subunit ribosomal RNA
Source: RNAcentral